Molecule: ribosomal RNA, 254 nt
Filed under: uncultured bacterium
Lineage: Bacteria
Description: partial 16S ribosomal RNA
Rfam family: Bacterial small subunit ribosomal RNA
Source: RNAcentral
UACGAAGGGGGCUAGCGUUGCUCGGAAUCACUGGGCGUAAAGGGCGCGUAGGCGGCCACCGCAAGUCGACUGUGAAAUCUCCGGGCUUAACCCGGAAAGGUCAGCCGAUACUGCGGGGCUAGAGUGCAGAAGGGGCAACUGGAAUUCUCGGUGUAGCGGUGAAAUGCGUAGAUAUCGAGAGGAACACCUGCGGCGAAGGCGGGUUGCUGGGCCGAUACUGACGCUGAGGAGCGAAAGCGUGGGGAGCGAACAGG